AAGGCAAAAUCCUGGCCUUUCCGAGGGGGUUGGUGCUGCCUUGCCAUUCCUGUGAAACUCAGUAGAGAGAGAAGACCAGGGGAGGGGGAGAGGGAGGGGGAGGGGCUGCUCCUUGGGUUCUUGAUUCGUUGCAAGAUUGGCUGCAAUCAUAAUCCUCAUCAUCACCAAGCAUGGCAUUAGCAGAUGGAGAGGCGACUUCUUCGUGGGAUAGUGACGAUGAGUACCAGAAGUUCAUCCAAAAGAUGAACCCUCCAAGGGUCACAAUCGACAACACAUCAUGCGCAAAUGCUACAGUUAUUCAUGUGGACAGCGCUAACAAGUAUGGGAUACUGUUGGAGGUAGUGCAGGUCCUCACUGACCUCAAACUCAUAGUCAAGAAAGCCUACAUAUCCUCGGAUGGCGGAUGGUUCAUGGACGUGUUCAAUGUGACGAAUCAAAGUGGGCAGAAGAUAACGGACGAAUCUGUGCUGGAAGGGAUAAAAGAUUACAUUCACAAGUCUAUCGGUCCUGAUUCUUGCUUUCUUCCUUCACGGAAGAGAGCUGUGGGAGUGGAGCCUUCAUCCAACUACACCUUGAUAGAGCUAACUGGGACUGACAGACCUGGUCUUCUCUCCGAAGUGAGCGCCGUGCUCACAAAUCUUGAGUGUAAUGUGGUGAAUGCAGAGGUGUGGACACAUAACAAACGAGCAGCAGCAGUCAUGCAGGUCACCGAUAGGAAGUCCGGGUUGGCAAUCUCAGAUGCAGAAAGGCUCGGCAGAAUCAAGGAGUGGCUUUGCAAUGUGUUCAAGGGGAGUAACAGGAGCCAAGACGCCAGGACAACAGUUGCAAUGGGUAUAACCCACACAGAGCGGAGGCUGCACCAAAUGAUGCUUGAGGAUCGAGAUUAUGAAAGGUACGAAAAGGAUAGGGCGAAUGUCAACCCCAAGCCAAUGGUCUCCGUCGUUAAUUGGCUUCAGAAGGAUUAUUCUGUGGUGACUAUUCGGUGCAAGGAUCGACCAAAGCUUCUCUUCGACACAGUUUGCACUCUGACAGAUAUGCAAUAUGUGGUUUUCCAUGGGAGUGUGGAUACUGAGGGUUCCAAAGCUUACCAGGAGUAUUACAUUAGGCACAUUGAUGGGUCACCUGUCAACUCUGAGGCCGAGAGGCAGCGAAUCAUCCAAUGCCUUGAAGCAGCUAUAGAACGGAGAGUAUCCGAGGGCCUGAAGUUAGAGCUGUCAACCGGCGAUCGAGUGGGGCUGUUGUCAGAUGUAACACGCAUCUUCCGUGAGAAUGGCUUGACGGUCACAAGAGCUGAAGUGACAACUAGGGGUGACAAAGCUGUCAACACUUUCUAUGUCCGUGAUGCAGCUGGGAGCUCGGUCGAUCUGAAGACGCUAGAAGCCAUACGCCAGGAAAUAGGUCAGACAGUUCUUCAAGUAAAAGGGCACCCUGAUCACCCAAAAUCACCACCACAAGAAUCACCUACUAGGUUUCUCUUCAGUAGUCUCUUCAGAUCAAGAUCACUCUGUAACCUAGGGUCGAUCAGGUCCUGAGUUUUUUCGCCUUUGGUCAAUCUACAAUUAUACGAGCGUAGCAACUGAACAAUCCAUCACAGUGCUUGCAGUCGUGGGUUCAUGAAUUCAGAUGAAGCAAGAUGCUGUUGUACCAUGUUUACAGUGCAAGCAUUCAUCAUAUGAAGACGAGUCAUAUGAAGCCUGAGCAACCCAACCGGCAUGCACAGAAUCAACAACAGUGGGUGAAUACAGUAGUUCAGUAGCAGUAGCCACCAUUGUACAUCCAUCCCCAUUUUUAGCAUAGAGAUGUAAAUAUCCCCAGCCCUGUCAACAUGUUUGCGCUGAUGGCAAGUACCGAUACUAUGCAGCUGCUGAUCUUCAAGCUGCGGAUGUCAUCGUUGAAUGCUAAUUCACAGGACAUGAAGUAGGAUUACAGCAUGCUGUCAUCGGAUGGACAGUGAAGGGGAGGUGGUUGGUGUCAGUGGCAUUGCCCCUUGAGAUAUUCGUAAGGUGGUGGGUGUGAUAUGACGAUGGCAUCAUCGACGGCAUACUCGUCCAAGGAAUCAGGGCCGACGGCGACUGGAUUGUCAUUUGUGCCGGGCGCACAUGUCGAAAAUGGCCGCCAGCUCGGCAGGGCCUACCAUGGCUGCAAGUUGGUGCUUGGGUUUUUGGAUGUGGAGUCCUCUCUCACCCUGCACUAGCGAGGGUGGUCGGAUGAAUCAUGGCCUCAUGGCAGGCAGAGCAGAGGCGUCUAGGUAUCGUCUUGUGGUGCCGCCAAGUAGCCGUGGCAUUUUGAUUUGAAGAUCUUGCGCCACAUUACCACCAGAAUCUCUCGCAAACACAGAGGCAAGUUGGUCGGGGCCCUACAUGCUACAGGCAGGGCCGCAGGGACCAGCUAAGUUCUUACCUACAGAUAUUUCUGCCGUUGAGGUAAAUAAGUUCUGGAAUCAUUUGUGCCGACUUAUCUUGCUGCCUUGGUCUUCUGGUUUUACAGUACUUUCAGCAAGUUUUUACAAUCAUGCCACAUGCAUGUCAGUGACUCGGUAUUUAUUCAUCCCAGUUCAAAGUAAGUACAGCUGAAGCAACUAAUUGCCAUCAUUUCUCAACCCCAAUCGUCUCUGAAAGUGUGAGCUGUGAUCAUCUGCACCGAGUUGCAGACUUGCAGCGACUUUUCAGUGAGACCUCAGAUCUUGCUACUGUCAGGGGCACACAGAACUGCCAGUCAUCCUGCGAGAAAUGCCAGGUAUGAGCUGGAACAGUCAGUUGCUACCACAUGUCAGAGCUGGAGGAGGGUCUUCACACUUCAAGAUUGUGCAUCGAGAACUAAUUACGCCCAUUUUUCAGAGGAAUAUUCUUCCGUUGCGCUUCAGGAUAUGUUUAGGAAAUGGAUCGUACAAUAAUCGCACGAUAUGUAGUUAUCCGAUUUUACGGGUCGGGAUUCGCAAACUACGACAACGGGUGAAAUUUUUGAACUCAUCAUUCAGUCAUUAGCUGAAAGUUUAAGCAAGCUCCACCAUGUGCCAUAUUUUCUGUCAUGCAAGAGAAUAGCUGAUCUUUUCAUAGAGUGGGGAACUUAAAAGGCAACCAGAAAGGGUUGGUGGGCAUGCAUCUAUCUUGAGGGACUGUAGCAGUUACUGAAGAAACCAAGUGGACUCCAUCCAACCAAAAAAGUUGUCUUGAGAUUAUCAGAUUCAGGGGGCAGCAAUGUGUUGUGUCCCAUAGCUUCUGUACUAUGUAGGUUGUAGGACAGUCGCAGCCUCACAAGGCUCCUCUCUGCACAAACAUUUCAUCUGCCCCUUGCAAAGUGAUACAUGACCUUUAAUUUUUUUGGGCACUGAGCACAUGUUGUACUGU
Phragmites australis (common reed) is the source of this 3347-nucleotide RNA transcript. It is a transcript of the gene named ACT domain-containing protein ACR4-like, with no coding region annotated. Lineage: Eukaryota; Viridiplantae; Streptophyta; Magnoliopsida; Poales; Poaceae. The record is from RefSeq and is a predicted model, not a curated record. The transcript has 10 exons.